UCUCUCCCUCCCUCCCUCCCUCUGCUAUUCUGAGUCUCACACUUAUCAUAUGUAAUAAUAUGAGUCUAAUGUGAAGGUUUCUUGCCCUCUCAAACUGUUGCAGACACAUGAUAAUGGAGCUUAGCGUGUGGAGGAAAGUGAUGAACACGUAAAGCAUAUUUUUCCUCUCCCCAACGAGUGCCAGAUGGAUAUUCACUGAUAACUUCAUCAUCUGGGAAGAGAACAGCUGUCCUGGAUUUUGUAAGGAACCAUGCAAAGAAUUCCAGAUCAAACCUCCAAUCAACAUCAGCCGGUAGAAAACUUGCAAGAGUCUGUCAUGAAGUUGCAACAGAGAAUCCAGCAGCACAUGGAGAGAAAAGCGGGCACAAAGGGGCUGGAACCCCAGAGAGCAGCUAAUGAUUCACAUUUCAUAUCCCCCCACACAGGGGCCCUUGUGUCUACCAUGAGGGGCCUCUUCGAGCGUUUGUUUUCACUGUGAAAUCCAAAAUAAAUGGGAGCCGCAGAUGAGGACUGGACACUUGAGAAAUUGAAAUCAUGAAGUCCGUAAGAAAAACGCUAAAAACCCU
Molecule: long non-coding RNA, 566 nt
Organism: Rhinichthys klamathensis goyatoka
Lineage: Eukaryota; Metazoa; Chordata; Actinopteri; Cypriniformes; Leuciscidae
Exons: 2
Source: RefSeq, a predicted model, not a curated record